Molecule: RNA transcript, 702 nt
Organism: Puma concolor (puma)
Lineage: Eukaryota; Metazoa; Chordata; Mammalia; Carnivora; Felidae
Source: RefSeq, a predicted model, not a curated record
UCGCGCUUUCCGGGAUGGCGGGGUUGGGGGACGCGGGGUAUCUCGGUUUCCGAAGGGCCCAGGCGCUGAGCAGGGACGCGCGGCCACCCUGAGGGCGAUGGGAUAUGGUUCGCCGCUGUGCCGGGCCCGAGGAUCCCGUGCCGUGAGUCCGUGGAGGGAAGCGGCCCGGCCUGGUCUCCACCACGUUGUCCGUGGACCUCAGAAGACCCCAACGCGGCCCCCAGGCUGCGUUCCCACUCCAGGAAGUGGAAGAUGGACUUGAGUGCAUUUGAGUUUAUUGGACACGUACUGUGUGUCAGGGAAUUUUUAAUAGAAACAGAUUUCUCGUGAAAGAGAAAGGCCUCACCCUGUAACUGCAUGCAUGCCUACCGUAUCCCAUUUGAGAUCAAGUCUACAUAGGAGUAAAGUGCCGUUUAAGGUUUAGAUCUCGAUAUUUGUUUCAAGAUAGAGAACUUGGCGAGUGAGCGGCAGCAGCUUCGCAGGUGAAAAACGGAUGCUUGAAGCAUAUCCUGCUGCUAGCUGAAUUCUGUCCUGGAGCACCAAGGGUGACCUAAGGAUGUCCUUGAUGAAUUCAAAACCAUCACAGGAAAUCUUGACAAGAGUUGCUUGGAUCAUUUAAAAUUCCCAGGAGUCUGAGGGGGUACUAAAACAACUGUUUUGGAACUGUCCAUAAAUCUACCUUUAAAAUAGUGGGGCUAUGAA